AUACCUUUCUCAGCCUUUUGGCUAAGAUCAAGUGUAAUAUCUGUUCUAAAAGGUAUAGAUUGACUCUUUGGAAACCUGGUUCGGUAUAGUAUAAUUAUUAGGGUCUCGGAUGUCAAAUUAU
This 121-nucleotide small nuclear RNA is filed under the name Medicago truncatula (barrel medic). RNAcentral's name for it is "sRNA gene14957". It matches the Rfam family "U2 spliceosomal RNA". From Rfam's summary of the family: U2 is a small nuclear RNA (snRNA) component of the spliceosome (involved in pre-mRNA splicing). Complementary binding between U2 snRNA (in an area lying towards the 5' end but 3' to hairpin I) and the branchpoint sequence (BPS) of the intron results the bulging out of an unpaired adenosine, on the BPS, which initiates a nucleophilic attack at the intronic 5' splice site, thus starting the first of two transesterification reactions that mediate splicing. The record is from RNAcentral. Lineage: Eukaryota; Viridiplantae; Streptophyta; Magnoliopsida; Fabales; Fabaceae.